AUAUCAAUAAGCGGAGGAAAAGAAACUAACAAGGAUUCCCCUAGUAACGGCGAGUGAAGCGGGAUGAGCUCAAAUUUAAAAUCUGGCUGGUUUACUAGUCCGAAUUGUAGUUUAUAGAAGCGUUCUUUCGGGGAUAAUUGAGGUUUAAGUCCGUUGGAAUACGGCACGAUACAGGGUGAGAGUCCCGUGAAGCCUUUAUGUUGUUCCUAUGUGAAACGUUUUCGAAGAGUCGCGUAGUUUGAGAAUGCUGCGCAAAUCGGGAGGUAAAUACCUUCUAAAGCUAAAUAUUGAGGAGAGACCGAUAGCGCACAAGUA
This 315-nucleotide ribosomal RNA is filed under the name uncultured Mortierellaceae. RNAcentral's name for it is "partial large subunit ribosomal RNA". It matches the Rfam family "Eukaryotic large subunit ribosomal RNA", at positions 40 to 350 of the family's 3401-position model. Lineage: Eukaryota; Fungi; Mortierellomycota; Mortierellomycetes; Mortierellales; Mortierellaceae. The record is from RNAcentral.